UACAGAGGUCUCAAGCGUUGUUCGGAUUCAUUGGGCGUAAAGGUGCGUAGGCGGCGCGGUAAGUCGGGUGUGAAAUCUUGGAGCUUAACUCCGAAACUGCAUUCGAUACUGCCGUGCUUGAGGACUGGAGAGGAGACUGGAAUUUACGGUGUAGCGGUGAAAUGCGUAGAUAUCGUAAGGAAGACCAGUGACGAAGGCGGGUCUCUGGACAGUUCCUGACGCUGAGGCGCGAAGGCCAGGGGAGCAAACGGG
This 252-nucleotide ribosomal RNA is filed under the name uncultured bacterium. Its description in RNAcentral is "partial 16S ribosomal RNA". It matches the Rfam family "Bacterial small subunit ribosomal RNA", at positions 524 to 776 of the family's 1533-position model. The record is from RNAcentral.